GGUCUGAGAAUUAUGGAGCUGCCUAAACCCAGCUUCACCUCUCUCUAGUUCGGGCCUGUUUGGCACAGGUCCAGCUCCACCCCUCCUGGAGCUCGAGCUCAGCCAAACAGUUUCAGCUCCACCAAAACUGGGAGUGGAGUUGGGUGGAGCUUCUCACAAAAUGUACUAGAGUUGUGGAUUUGGGUUUAGGCAGCUCCACAAGUCCACACCAGACUCAACU
RNAcentral lists this unclassified non-coding RNA (220 nucleotides) under Oryza sativa (Asian cultivated rice). RNAcentral describes it as "partial microRNA MIR447 precursor". The record is from RNAcentral. Lineage: Eukaryota; Viridiplantae; Streptophyta; Magnoliopsida; Poales; Poaceae.